Molecule: ribosomal RNA, 559 nt
Filed under: uncultured bacterium
Lineage: Bacteria
Description: bacterial SSU rRNA
Rfam family: Bacterial small subunit ribosomal RNA
Source: RNAcentral
GGGAAACUGCCUGAUGGAGGGGGAUAACUACUGGAAACGGUAGCUAAUACCGCAUAACGUCGCAAGACCAAAGAGGGGGACCUUCGGGCCUCUUGCCAUCAGAUGUGCCCAGAUGGGAUUAGCUAGUAGGUGGGGUAACGGCUCACCUAGGCGACGAUCCCUAGCUGGUCUGAGAGGAUGACCAGCCACACUGGAACUGAGACACGGUCCAGACUCCUACGGGAGGCAGCAGUGGGGAAUAUUGCACAAUGGGCGCAAGCCUGAUGCAGCCAUGCCGCGUGUAUGAAGAAGGCCUUCGGGUUGUGAAGUACUUUCAGCGGGGAGGAAGGUGUUGAGGUUAAUAACCUCAGCAAUUGACGUUACCCGCAGAAGAAGCACCGGCUAACUCCGUGCCAGCAGCCGCGGUAAUACGGAGGGUGCAAGCGUUAAUCGGAAUUACUGGGCGUAAAGCGCACGCAGGCGGUCUGUCAAGUCGGAUGUGAAAUCCCCGGGCUCAACCUGGGAACUGCAUUCGAAACUGGCAGGCUAGAGUCUUGUAGAGGGGGGUAGAAUUCCAGGU